Molecule: ribosomal RNA, 447 nt
Filed under: uncultured bacterium
Lineage: Bacteria
Description: bacterial SSU rRNA
Rfam family: Bacterial small subunit ribosomal RNA
Source: RNAcentral
GGCCCAGACUCCUACGGGAGGCAGCAGUCGGGAAUAUUGCGCAAUGGAGGAAACUCUGACGCAGUGACGCCGCGUAUAGGAAGAAGGUUUUCGGAUUGUAAACUAUUGUCGUGAGGGAAGAAAUUGACAGUACCUCAGGAGGAAGCUCCGGCUAACUAUGUGCCAGCAGCCGCGGUAAUACAUAGGGAGCAAGCGUUAUCCGGAUUUACUGGGUGUAAAGGGAGCGUAGACGGUCCUGCAAGCCAGAUGUGAAAGCCCGGGGCUCAACCCCGGGACUGCAUUUGGAACUGUAAGGCUAGAGUGUCGGAGAGGCAGGCGGAAUUCCUAGUGUAGCGGUGAAAUGCGUAGAUAUUAGGAGGAACACCAGUGGCGAAGGCGGCCUGCUGGACGAUGACUGACGUUGAGGCUCGAAAGCGUGGGGAGCAAACAGGAUUAGAUACCCUAGUA